RNAcentral lists this ribosomal RNA (450 nucleotides) under uncultured bacterium. RNAcentral describes it as "bacterial SSU rRNA". It matches the Rfam family "Bacterial small subunit ribosomal RNA", at positions 354 to 796 of the family's 1533-position model. The record is from RNAcentral.
GUGGGGAAUAUUGGACAAUGGGCGAAAGCCUGAUCCAGCCAUGCCGCGUGUGUGAAGAAGGUCUUCGGAUUGUAAAGCACUUUAAGUUGGGAGGAAGGGCAGUAAGUUAAUACCUUGCUGUUUUGACGUUACCGACAGAAUAAGCACCGGCUAACUUCGUGUCAGCAGCCGCGGUAAUACGAAGGGUGCAAGCGUUAAUCGGAAUUACUGGGCGUAAAGCGCGCGUAGGUGGUUUUGUAAGUUGGAGGUGAAAUCCCCGGGCUCAACCUGGGAACUGCCUCCAAAACUGCAUGACUAGAGUACGGUAGAGGGUAGUGGAAUUUCCUGUGUAGCGGUGAAAUGCGUAGAUAUAGGAAGGAACACCAGUGGCGAAGGCGACCACCUGGACUGAUACUGACACUGAGGUGCGAAAGCGUGGGGAGCAAACAGGAUUAGAUACCCUAGUAGUCC